Molecule: transfer RNA, 56 nt
Filed under: Bdellovibrio sp.
Lineage: Bacteria; Pseudomonadati; Bdellovibrionota; Bdellovibrionia; Bdellovibrionales; Pseudobdellovibrionaceae
Description: tRNA-Pro
Rfam family: tRNA
About the family: Transfer RNA (tRNA) molecules are approximately 80 nucleotides in length.
Source: RNAcentral
UGGCUCAGCUUGGUAGAGCACUUGCUUGGGGUGCAAGAGGUCGCUGGUUCAAAUCC